UGGGGAAUUUUGGACAAUGGGCGAAAGCCUGAUCCAGCAAUGCCGCGUGUGUGAAGAAGGCCUUCGGGUUGUAAAGCACUUUUGUCCGGAAAGAAAUCCUUGGCUCUAAUACAGUCGGGGGAUGACGGUACCGGAAGAAUAAGCACCGGCUAACUACGUGCCAGCAGCCGCGGUAAUACGUAGGGUGCAAGCGUUAAUCGGAAUUACUGGGCGUAAAGCGUGCGCAGGCGGUUUGCUAAGACCGAUGUGAAAUCCCCGGGCUCAACCUGGGAACUGCAUUGGUGACUGGCAGGCUAGAGUAUGGCAGAGGGGGGUAGAAUUCCACGUGUAGCAGUGAAAUGCGUAGAGAUGUGGAGGAAUACCGAUGGCGAAGGCAGCCCCCUGGGCCAAAUACUGACGCUCAUGCACGAAAGCGUGGGGAGCAAAACAGGAUUAGAUACCCUGGUAGUCCACGCCCUAAAACGAUGUCAACUAGUUGUUGGGGGAUUCAUUUCCUUAGUAACGUAGCUAACGCGUGAAGUUGACCGCCUGGGGAGUACGGUCGCAAGAUUAAAACUUAAAUGAAUUGACGGGGUCAUAGCUGUUUCCU
RNAcentral lists this ribosomal RNA (589 nucleotides) under uncultured bacterium. Its description in RNAcentral is "partial 16S ribosomal RNA". It matches the Rfam family "Bacterial small subunit ribosomal RNA", at positions 355 to 1375 of the family's 1533-position model. The record is from RNAcentral.